CAUUGAGGAAGAUUUUUUUAUCACUUCUUCCCCACUUUUACACCUGAUUGCACAAGUAGAUUUGGUAUAUCAUAGAAUCAUCAAAUUGGUUUCAGUUGUAAGGAUUCUUAACAAUCAUCUAGUUCCAAUCCCUCUGUCGUGGGCAAGGGGGCCUUCUAGAUCAGGUUACUGAAAUCCCCAUCCAACCUGACCUUGAACACUUCCUGGGAUAGAACAUCAACAGAUUCUCUGAGAACCUUGUUCCAGUGCUUUACUACCCUCAUAGCGGAGAAUUUAUUUUGAAUAUAUAAUCUAAAUAUCUUCUAUUUUAGUUUAAAGCUAUUAUCCCUUGUCUUAUUGCUACACACCCUGACAGAGUCCCUCUCUAUCUAUCCAUCUUGUAUGUCUUCUUUAAAAACUGAAAGAUUGGUCUCCCUGUGGCCUUCUCUUUUCCAGGUUGAACAACCUCAAGUCUCCCAGAUUGACUUCAAAGGAGAGAUUUUCCAGCCCUCUGAUUUCCUCUUGGCCCUCCUCUGGACCUGCUCCAACACGUUAAUUUUUAUCUUAUGCAGAGGGCCCCAGAGCUGAACACUGUACUUCAGGUGGGGUCUUGUGAGAGCAGAGCAGAGAGAGGGAAUCACCUCCCUUGUCCUGCUGGCCAUGUUUAUUUUAAUGCUGCCCAGUGUAUGGAUGGUUUUCAGGGCUGCGAGUGCACAUUGCUGGCUCAUGUAGUUUUUUAUCAACCAACAUCCCAAAAUCUUUCUUUUUGGGGUAACUCUCAAUCCUUUCUCCACCCAGCCUGUACUUUGCUUGAGAUUGCCCUAACUCCAGUGGAGGAGCUUGCACUUGGUCUUCUGAAAUUUCACGAGGUUCAUACAGAAACAACUUUCAAGCCUGUCCAAAUCUGUGUGGAUUGCAUUCCUUCUCUCCAACAUAUUGACAGAACCAUUCACUUUGGUGUUGUUGGAAACCUUUCUGAAGGUGUACUCAAUCUCAGUGUCUAGUUCACUAAGAUAACAGAUAACACCAGUUCCAAUAUUGACCCCUGAGGAAUGCCAUUCAUCACCUGAGCAUUGAGUUGUUAACUACAAGUCUCUGAAAGUGACCAUCCAGCCAUUUCCUUAUUCACUGAACACUCCAUCUGUCAAAUCCAUGUAUCUCCAAUUUAUAGAGAAGGAUUUAAUGUGGGACAAUGUCAAAUGCUUUGCACAAAGCUAAGCAAGUGAUGUCAGUUGCUCUUCCCUUAUCCACCAACACUGUAACUCUGUCAUAUAAGGCCACAUCUGCCAGGCACAAUUUGCCCUUAGAGGAACCAUGCUGGCUGUCAUCUCUCUCUUUGUAUUUCAUGAGCCAUAGCAUAGUUUUCAGUGUACAUUGCAACAACAAAGCUUCAGUGUAAGUAACAGGAAAAAAAAAAAAAAAAAAAAGAAGAAGGGGGGGGGGGGGGAAUAAUUAAAAAAAUGACGUAGAGUUCCACCUAGGAGUAGAUGAGGAAAACAUUUGAUAGGAGCACUACAGAUGUGAUGCAUAUGCCUUAAUACAUAAGGAGGGCUAAAUAAUCUUGCAAAGUCUUUCUUCCUCAUGAUUCUUGCACAGGCUUUUCAGAUUUUCAGGCAAGUAGUGGUCUAUUAUCCAAAUACUUACUGAAGAGGAAAAAUGACUGUCAUGAUUCAAGUGAAAUCUUAAUUGCUGUGAAACUCCACAAUGGAGAAAGAUCUUGGCCUACAUUUUAGUAAAUUGAUGUUUAAAUAUAUUAUUUUCCUAUUUCUUUUAUUUUGAUUUUUUUCUUUUAUUUGUUGUUGUUGUUUGUUAGUUUUGUUUAGGAAUUCUUAUCUUUUUCUUCCUGUUAAUGAAAGUGAGCCCUAAAGGAGAGGUGAGUUUCUACUCCAUAUGUGUAGACCUUGUUGUAGUGCUGGUUGGAAAGAUGGUAGCAGAUGGAUAACAUUUGGGACUUCUUGUCAAUUCAUCUGUUAAUAAGAGGGACUCUUCACAUAGGCUGCAGUAAACAAGGCCCUUCUGUCUCUAGCACUGCCAUUAGCCCUUAAAAUGUCCUCUGAGAAUGUGUUUGAUGGUGGACAUCUGAGAUAAUAAUAUCUUCAACAGCUUCCUGAAGUAAGAACUCUUUUGUGAUUAUGUGUGGAGUUAUUUAAUCACAGAGACACCUUUUCAUGAGUAAUUAUUACUGAGUAAUGAUUACUAAAGAUUACUGAGCUUCCCCCACAGAAGUAAUGCAACACAUGACUUAAAAAAAUCUCUUUCUACUAUUUCUGAGAAACAGGUUACAUGUUAAAAGGUGGUUGCUAUUGCUGUUGACCUAGUUGGUAUCGGCCUGUUACUGUUCAGUAUUCCCUGAUGUUCAUACAAUAUGUCUUGUUACAUGGUAUGUAUCUAAUGAUUUCUCAUUCAAUGAAUGCCAUGGAAAGAUCAUAGAAUUUCUCAGAUUGGAAAAGACCAAGUGCAACUCCAACCUAACCAUACUACCCUAACUCUAACAACCACUGCUAAAUCUUGUCCCUGAGUACCACAUCCAAAUAGUCUUUAAACACAUCCAGGGGUGGCCACCUGCCUGGGAAGCCUACUCCAGUGUUUACUCUUUUUUUACUCAGGUGGUUACCCUUUCUGUGAAGAAAUUUUUUCCUGAAGAUACUCCUGAAGAAGAUAUUUUCCUAUGAAGGGUCAGGUCUGACUUUUUGAAUGCAAAGUUUGAAUUUAGAUGUUGAUAUCAAUCCAUUUUUACUGUUAUGGUCUGCACUACCUGUUUUUUGCCUGUUUCAGUGAUAUAGUUCCUUCUAUCCAUAUAACAAGUUUGGAUCCUUAUUAAACUCUAAUUCAAUACUGUAGAGUAUAGGACAAACUAUUGCAAAUCUGCAUCUGUAAGAGGUCAUUCUUUUACACCAUUGCCUCAAAGCUUGCUGAGGGACACAGAUGAACAAGUUCAAGCAUGUCCUGACCAAGGAUUAGGAAAUCCUUUGUCUGAAGGGGCAACAGAUGGACAAGGCCAGGGGCAAUGAGAGAGAGGUAAGUGGCAGCUAAAUGGCCAGGAAACAGUCUUUUGUGUGGACUUAUCCCAAGGGAGACAGCCAUCUCAGGGGAUGCUCACAUGACCCUUACCCAAGUGCCCAGGAAUGUCAUGUAGGCAGGGAAGAAGAAGGAUAAAAGAGAGUCCAACAACCAUGAAGGCAGGUUUCUGACAACAGAUUCCUCAUGACCUGCCUCUCUCUCCUGGACUUGCUCUGUGCUCUACCUGCUUGCUGCCUAAGGAUGGCCCCUCUGCUACUGCUCUCCCCCCUGAGAAGGUGUCUGCCAUCAGAUGCCUCACUAUGAAAGACCUGCAUGCUGACAGACUCUCCAGGGCCUGCUACCGGAGACCUGCUGUUUCCUCCCGGACUUCUUCCUGGACCUACUCAGUACCUGCACCUUCCUGCUGCCCAAGACCGGCCACGCUGCUGCUGCUCUUCUCCUAUGCUUUUGCCCCGGACCGUAGGAACGUCAUGCAAUGGGAUACUGCCGGAUCCUGGUGAAUCAUAGAAUCAUCAAGGUUGGAAAAGACCCACAGGAUCACCCAGUCCAACCAUCCACCCAUCAUCAAUAGUUCUCAAUAAACCAUGUCCCUCAACACAAUGUCCAAAUGUUCCUUGAACACCCCCAGGGUAGGUGACUCCACCAGCUCCCUUGGCAGCCCAUUCCAGUGCCUCACCACUCUUUCAGAGAAAAAGUAUUUCCUGAUGUCCAGCCUGAACCUCCCUGGUGCAGCUUGAAGCCAUUCCCUCUAGUCCUGUCACUAGUUACACAAGAGAAGAGGCUGGCCCCCAGCUCACUACAACCUCCCUUCAGGUAGUUAUAGAGAGCAAUAAGGUCUCCCCUGAGCCUCCUCUUCUCCAGACUGAACAAUCCCAGCUCCUUCAGCUGUUCCUCAUAAAGCCUGUGCUCCAGAUCCUUCACCAGCUUUGAUGCCCUUCUUUGAACACGCUCCAGGGCCUCGAUGUCUUUCUUACAGUGAGGGGCCCAAAACUGGACACAGUACUCCAGGUGCGGCCUCACCAGGGCUGAGCACAGGGGGAUAAUUACUCCUCUGUUCCUGCUGGCAGCACUGUUUCUGAUGCAAGCCAGGAUACCAUUGGCCUUCUUGGUCACCUGGGCACACUGCUGGCUCAUGUUCAGUUGAGCAUCAAUCAAUACCCCCAGGUCCAUUUCCUCUACAGUCUUCCAGCCACUCUGCCCCAAGCCUGUAGUGUUGCCUGGGGUUAUUGUGGCCAAAAUGCAAGACCUGGAAUUUGGUCUUGCUGAACCUCAUCACAUCAGCUUCAGCCCAGCCAUCCAGCCUGUCCAGAUCCCUCUGUAGGGCCUCACUGCCCCCAGGCAGGUUGACACUUCCAGCCAACUUGUUGUCAUCUGCAAACUUACUGAGGGUGCACUCAGUGCCCUCAUCCAGGUCAUCAAUAAAGAUAUUGGAGAGAAUGGGCCCCAGCACAACCCCUGGGGAACACCACUUGUGACUAGUUGCUAGCUGGAUUUAAUUCCAUUCACCGCCACUCUCUGAGCUCAGCCCUCCAGCCAAUUCCUUACCCAGCCAAGAAUGUAGCUGUCCAAGCCACGGACUGCCAACUUCUGCAGGAGAAUACUGUGGGAAACAGUGUCAAGGCUUUGCUGAAGUCUAGGUAGACUACAUCAACAGCCUUUCCCUCAUCCACCAGACGGGUCACUAGAUCAUAGAAGGAGAUCAGGUUGGUCAGUCAAGCAGGACCUGCCCUUCGUGAACCCAUGCUGGCUUGGCUUGAUCUCCCUCAAGACAGUCUGCUCCAUAAUCUUCCCUGGCACUGAGGUCAGGCUAACAGGCCUGUAGUUCCCCGGAUCCUCCCUGUAGUCCUUCUUGUAGAUGGGAGUCACAUUGGCAAGCCUCCAGUCUUCUGGGACCUCUCCAGUCAACAAGGAGCACUGACAGAUGAUGGAAAGUGGCUCAGCUAUCACCUCCGCCAGUUCCCUCAGCACUCUUCAGUGAAUCUCAUCGGGCCCCGUGGACUUGUGGCAGUCUGUAAGAGACUAUUCUUUUAUAUCAUUGACUCAAAGUUUGCUGAGGAACAAGUCCAGGCAAGUCCUGGGCAAAGGCAGAGAAAUCUUUUGUCUUGAGGACACUGAUGGACAGGUACUGGCUAAGGAUUGUGAAAUCCUCUAAGGAGCACAGAUGGACAAGGCCAGGGGCAUUGAGAGAGAGAUAAGCUGCUGCUAAUGGCCGGGAAACGGUCUUUUUGUGUGGACUUAUCUCAAGGAAAAUGGCCAUCUCAGGAGGUAUGCACAGGACUCUUGCUCAAGCACCCAGGAAUGUCACGUAGGCAGCAGAAAAUGGAGGAUAAAAGAGGGUCCAAUAACCACAACGGUGGAAGCUGAUCCUUCACCACAACCACGGCAACGGUAGAGGCUUCUCUCUCACCACGACAGACUUGAGAGGUUCUCUGCCAUCUGAUCUCUCAUUGCAACGUGGAGGCUGAUCUCUCACCGCAACACAGAGGCUGAUCUCUCAUGAUCUCUCACCACGACACAAGCUUCCUGCCUUCAGAUCCUUCUCUACGGACCGUUUGCUGACGGACUUCCCUGGGCCUGCUACCUGAGACCUGCUGCUUCCUCCCUGACCUGCACCCUCUCGUUGCCCAAGACCGGCCCCGCUGCUCCUGCCCUUUGGCCUCGGACCGUCGGAACAUCGUGCAACGGGACUGCUGCCGGAUCCUGGUGGUCUUGUGGUCUUUAUCCCACUGUCACAAGAUGAUUCAAGUUGUGGGGCAACUGAUCCAAAUGAUGUGAACAGAGCAUAUCCACUAUGACGUAUCAAACUAAAAGAUACUGGAGGCACAGGAAAUAAAAUGUGAUUUACUUGCAUUUUGUUAUUCAGAUUAGAGAUUUGGAAAGAAAUUCCAGGAUAUGGAAGACAUAUUUUAAAAAAUAUUUGAAAAAAAUUUAACCACACAUUCUACCACUUUCAGUGGUAAGUCAUCAGCAGAGUACACAAAAUGUAAUCUCUUACAUCACCUGACAAUUCUGCAUAGAACAUGACUGCCAACUUCUCUGCUUACAUGCAGUAUUUUUCAAGGUUUUCACAUUGUUAUCUUAAUCAAAUGACACCGAAAAAUAAGAGGUAUUUUUUGUUUAUAUAAGUGUAGUUACUGGAGUGAUAUGCACACAUAGUAUUUGCAUAAUGUUUGACAUACAUGGAUUAAAUUAGGAAUAUCAAAGCUUAUCUUGAGUUGAAACUAGUGAAGGAACAAACCUGAGAUGGAAAAAUGAGAAAGAAAUAUCGAAGAUUAGGGAAAAAGCUGAGGUUCUUGGUUCUUGUUCAGUAUUAUUUUUGGUAACAAGAUCUCAUUAAUGAAUUUUCUGAGCCUAGUGAUAGAAUCUGUGAGAACUGUAGCAGUACAUGCAGCAGAAUAAGAUUGAGUAUGGAGCACUUAAUCCACUUCGACAUGGGGACUGCUGAUAAGCCACUGAAAUACUGCUUUUUGCCAUCUUUGAACGAUAAUUCUGACUGGAGAAGUUCUUCGUGGUUGAGAAAGGCAAACGUAUCCACUUUCCAACAGAACAAGCAGACUGGUGAGCUUCUCAGAGAAGGUGAAACAGCAAGUCUUCCUUAAACCAUAUCCAGGCCUCACAAGGACAAAGAAACUAGUGAAAACAGCUAUUGUGUGUUUUCCAAGGAUGAAUUCUGCUUCACCGAUCUGAUAGCUUUCCAUGAGCAGAUUACUAGUUCAGUGGACAAGGGGAGAUCAGCAAGAGCUGUUUACCUUGAUUUUACACUUGGUGUGACUGUCCAUAAUAUCUUUAUUGUCAAAUUUGGAAGGUCUGGAUUGAAAAAGUGGAUGAUGAAGUGGAUGGAGAAGUGACUGAUCCACUGGGAUCAAAUCCUUGUGGUCAAUAAUGUUAAGUCUAACUUGUGACUGAGUAUUGGUGGCAGCGCUCUGGGACUGAUGUUGGAGCAAGUACUCCAAUGUUUUUAUUAAGAACUUGGGAGACAGGAUCUGAGAAAGUCUGCAGACCUCACCAAUCUAAAGAAAGAAGUUAGUACACUGGAGGACAAUGUUGUUUUAGUGAGAAUUCAAGAUGUUGUAGGACUUCCUAAGCUUUAACAAAGGUAAAUUAUUUCGCCUUUUAUAGCUGACAUUUUCUGGAAUACUAGAACUUACUCUGGAAUGUUUGUUUGUUUAUUUAUUUAUUUAUUUUUAACAUAGAACUUUUUUUUUUUUUUUUUGAAACAUAAAAUAGCAUAGACAUUUUACUUUUAAGAAAAACAGUAAUAUGUUCAGCUGUCUCACGCUGCAUCAUCCAUCCAUAGAUCUACCCUGAAAAGUUGUUAUUCUAAGAUGACAGAGAACAAUGAUUCACAUUUUGUCAAUCCUAUUCCAUGUACUGUCAUUCAUCUUAGACAACUACUUGAGCUGCUGAAGCACUAGUGUUUGAUUUGUAAUGCUUUAAAAAUCUUGUAUGUUCUCAUCUUGCUGGUUGAUAUUAGUAGAACAUAACAACAGUUCCAGUUCUAACCGAUACCACUAAAAUAAAACUGAAACAAUUGUAGUGAACAUUAUUUGAAGAUCAUAUUUGGUUUCAUAAAAUCUGUGUCUCUAUUUAUCUUGACAAUUCAGAUUUCUACCAAUAUUCUGUUUCAAGUAAAUGAAAGUCUAAGACAGAAAUGAGCAAAAACAAAAACAAAAGAAGAAGAAACAGUUAUCUGUUCCAGUUCUAUUGCUAUACUCUGUCACAGCUCUCCCAUCCCAAUCCUUUGGAAAAUCUUUUCUUUCAUUAGUUUCUCAGAGAAAACAACACAUCUUGGUUUCUACAUUCCAUAUAUACAAGCUCGGGAUCAUAAGAUUUAUAUAUCUUCCCACUUGGACUAUCUCUCAAGGUUAUGGUUUUGAAGUAACUCCCACAGUCUUAUUCCCAGCCUCUCAUUUCAUGCUUAUAUUUUUUCUCAUAAAACUAAUUUUACUGCUUCUUUGUGUGUUGGGAAUGAAAUCUUCCAUACAAUGUCACUGAAUGAUUAAAGAUCAGUAAAAUAGGGCAUAGAAAUAAGUGUGAAAAAAUAUUUCCUGAUGUAUUUACUAUAUACAGCAGAGCUCACACACACAAGUGUGCAAU
Molecule: long non-coding RNA, 8097 nt
Organism: Gallus gallus (chicken)
Lineage: Eukaryota; Metazoa; Chordata; Aves; Galliformes; Phasianidae
Source: Ensembl